GAGUUUGAUCCUGGCUCAGGACGAACGCUGGCGGCGUGCUUAACACAUGCAAGUCGAGGGACUGUCGCAAGACGGGACCGGCGAACGGGUGCGUAACACGUGAGCAACCUGCCAUCCGGCGGGGGAUAGCCGGCCUAACGGCCGGGUAAUACCGCGUACGACCUCGAGCUCGCAUGGGCUUGAGGAGAAACCUCCCGCGCCGGUGGAGGGGCUCGCGUCCUAUCAGCUUGUUGGUGAGGUAACGGCUCACCAAGGCGACGACGGGUAGCUGGUCUGAGAGGAUGAUCAGCCACAUUGGGACUGAGAUACGGCCCAGACUCCUACGGGAGGCAGCAGUGGGGAAUAUUGCGCAAUGGCCGCAAGGCUGACGCAGCGACGCCGCGUGUGGGAUGAAGCUCCUCGGGUUGUAAACCACUGUUGCUCGGGAAGAACAGACGAGGAUUUCCCGGGCUUGACGGUACCCCCAAAGGAAGCGCCGGCUAACUCCGUGCCAGCAGCCGCGGUAAUACGGAGGGCGCAAGCGUUGUUCGGAAUUACUGGGCGUAAAGCGCGCGUAGGCGGUGUGGCGCGCGUGCGGUGAAAGCUCGGGGCUUAACCCCGAGUCUGCCGUGCGGACGGCCAAGCUAGGGCACUGUAGAGGCAAGUGGAAUUCCUGGUGUAGCGGUGGAAUGUGUAGAGAUCAGGAAGAACACUCGUGGCGAAGGCGGCUUGCUGGCUCGUUUCUGACGCUAAGGCGCGAAAGCUGGGGGAGCAAACAGGAUUAGAUGCCCUGGUAGUCCCAGCCGUAAACGGUGGACACUAGGUGUAGGAGGUACCGACCCCUCCUGUGCCGCAGCUAACGCAUUAAGUGUCCCGCCUGGGGAGUACGGCCGCAAGGUUGAAACUCAAAGGAAUUGACGGGGGCCCGCACAAGCGGUGGAGCAUGUGGUUUAAUUCGACGCAACGCGAAGAACCUUACCGGGGCUUGACAUGCACUGGACAGGUGUGGAAACACACUCUUCCUUCGGGACUGGUGCACAGGUGCUGCAUGGCUGUCGUCAGCUCGUGUCGUGAGAUGUUGGGUUAAGUCCCGCAACGAGCGCAACCCUUGUUCUUAGUUGCUAGCAGGUAAAGCUGAGCUCUCUAAGGAGACUGCCGGUGGUAAACCGGAGGAAGGUGGGGAUGACGUCAAGUCCUCAUGGCCCUUAUGCCCCGGGCUACACACGUGCUACAAUGGCCGGCACAAAGGGUUGCAAUACCGCGAGGUGGAGCUAAUCCCAAAAAACCGGUCUCAGUUCAGAUUGCAGUCUGCAACUCGACUGCAUGAAGGCGGAAUCGCUAGUAAUCGCUAAUCAGCAGGUAGCGGUGAAUACGUUCCCGGCCUUGUACACAC
Molecule: ribosomal RNA, 1372 nt
Filed under: uncultured prokaryote
Description: partial 16S ribosomal RNA
Rfam family: Bacterial small subunit ribosomal RNA
Source: RNAcentral